GAGUCAGAAACCAGCUGUGUGAAGAGAAGAUUUGCCAAGCCACCUGAUGUUCAUUGUCCUACAGUGCUCCCAGAAUCCAGCCAGUACCCCUCAGGACCAACCCCAAAUGCAAGCAGUGCCUCUGGAGGAAGCCACUCGGAGGAUGUUCUGUCAAUUCACCAGGCUGACAAUGGCUUUUGUGGAAGCUAUUUGGCGGAGUUGGACCAGUCAAUGGACCACUGUAAUGAUGGAUUGCCAACAUAUAACUCCAGCCCCUCCCACGCUAUGCCAUUAGAGAAAGCAAGGAAUGACGGCGGUGCCAGCUAUGCACAUGGCUCAAGAUUAGCUGACUUCAGCGCACUGGGCUUGGCUCACCUGACCCCGCAGCACCCAUCCCACCCCCUUCAGCUCCAGAAACACCACGGGGGAGAUUAUAUGGAGAGGAAUCAAGCAGAGUGUUGAAAGGCAAGUAUCAUUUUCUGAGCAGGUUCUUAACCGUACUGAUGCCUUCUGAAUUGAGAAACCUAUCCCUUGUGACUUUCCCAUCUUUUCAUGUUUUUUGUCAUGGUGUUAAGGCUUAAAAUGUAAGCACUUAAACCUGCACUAUGUAACCUUUUUGUGAUUACAAUGUUAUUUUGUCCAAUCUGUAUGGUAGUGUUAAUACAAUAUAACUUAAAAUUGGGGUGGUUGAUUUUGGUCUCCCUGCUCUUCUAUUGAGACAUUUAGAUCCUUUAUCUAGGUGAGACAUGACCUUGGUUUGACAAAAAUUAUGACUUUAUGGUCAAUUUCUCC
Molecule: long non-coding RNA, 771 nt
Organism: Gymnodraco acuticeps
Lineage: Eukaryota; Metazoa; Chordata; Actinopteri; Perciformes; Bathydraconidae
Exons: 5
Source: RefSeq, a predicted model, not a curated record